AUCUUAGAAUAUGGAUUCGAAUUUUUUUUGCUUAAAUCCCAGCAAUAGACUAUUAAGUGUAUUUAUGGGGAGAAACAUUGAAAAACAUCAAUGCAUCAGAGUGACAAACAAACAAGGAUGGUAUCAGGUCAUCGUGAGGUGUGCUAAAAAUAUCAGCUAAAUACCAUGCAAUUU
Long non-coding RNA from Octopus sinensis (East Asian common octopus), 174 nucleotides. RefSeq lists it as uncharacterized. The record is from RefSeq and is a predicted model, not a curated record. Lineage: Eukaryota; Metazoa; Mollusca; Cephalopoda; Octopoda; Octopodidae. The transcript has 3 exons.